AAGGCUAUACUUUCAGGGAUCAUUCCUAUAGUGUGUUACUAGAGUUUCUCUGAUCGUGUAGAGUACCAGAAACCACGAGGAGGAGGCAUAGUGCUCCUUCCUGAGCAUGAAGCCGGUUCUUGGUGUUGCCUUGGUGCAACUGCCACUUGAUGAUCAUUCUUGCUUUCUCCUUGGAGGGAGCAGGAGGGAAAGAACGCAGUCUGAGUGGG
This 209-nucleotide small nucleolar RNA is filed under the name Chinchilla lanigera (long-tailed chinchilla). RNAcentral describes it as "Small nucleolar RNA U3 (ENSCLAG00000020871.1)". It matches the Rfam family "Small nucleolar RNA U3". From Rfam's summary of the family: Small nucleolar RNAs (snoRNAs) are involved in the processing and modification of rRNA in the nucleolus. Lineage: Eukaryota; Metazoa; Chordata; Mammalia; Rodentia; Chinchillidae. The record is from Rfam by way of RNAcentral.